GCAAGUCUCAUGUGAAAUUCCGGAGCUCAACUCCGGAGCUGCAUGGGAAACUGCAUGUCUAUAGAGGGAUGGCGGAGAAAAUGGAAUCCAGGUGUAGCGGUGAAAUGCGUAAAUAUGUGGAAGAACACCAGUGGCGAAAGCGGUUUUCUAGCUAUUUCCUGACGCUGAGGCGCGAGAGCAUGGGGAGCAAACAGGAUUAGAUACCCUGGUAGUCCAUGCCGUAAACGUUGUAUACUUGAUGGAGUUGGGCUCAACCCCGACUGUGUCGAAGCUAACGCGAUAAGUAUACCGCCUGAGGAGUACGCUCGCAAGGGUGAAACUCAAAAGAAUUGACGGGGGCCCGCACAAGCAGUGGAGAAUGUGGUUUAAUUCGAUACAACGCGAAGAACCUUACCCAGGUUUGAAAUACAGAGGACAGCUACAGAAAUGUAGUCUCCCGCAAGGGUCUUUGUACAGGUGCUGCAUGGCUGUCGUCAGCUCGUGCCGUGAGGUGUUGGGUUAAGUCCCGCAACGAGCGCAACCCUUAUCAUUAGUUGCCAGCACGCGAGGUGGGAACUCUAAUGAGACUGCCCGGGUUAACCGGGAGGAAGGUGAGGAUGACGUCAAGUCCGCAUGGCCUUUAUACCUGGGGCUACACACGUUCUACAAUGGUCGGUACAGAAGGCAGCGAAGCCGCAAGGUGGAGCAAAUCCGCUAAAGCCGAUCUCAGUUCGGAUUGUAGUCUGCAACUCGGCUACAUG
Molecule: ribosomal RNA, 740 nt
Filed under: uncultured Chlamydia sp.
Lineage: Bacteria; Pseudomonadati; Chlamydiota; Chlamydiia; Chlamydiales; Chlamydiaceae
Description: bacterial SSU rRNA
Rfam family: Bacterial small subunit ribosomal RNA
Source: RNAcentral